RNAcentral lists this small RNA (66 nucleotides) under Lentibacillus halodurans. Its description in RNAcentral is "Bacillaceae-1 RNA". It matches the Rfam family "Bacillaceae-1 RNA". Lineage: Bacteria; Bacillati; Bacillota; Bacilli; Caryophanales; Bacillaceae. The record is from Rfam by way of RNAcentral.
UAUUCAGUGGGGCAGGUUAAGAUCGUGACGUCCUGUCGCAACACCGGCACUAGCACGUCCUGUGCG